GUUUCCGUAGUGUAGUGGUUACCACGUUCGCCUAACACGCGAAAGGUCCCUGGUUCGAGCCCAGGCGGAAACA
This 73-nucleotide transfer RNA is filed under the name Saccoglossus kowalevskii. RNAcentral describes it as "tRNA-Val". It matches the Rfam family "tRNA". Rfam says of the family: Transfer RNA (tRNA) molecules are approximately 80 nucleotides in length. The record is from RNAcentral. Lineage: Eukaryota; Metazoa; Hemichordata; Enteropneusta; Harrimaniidae.